RNAcentral lists this ribosomal RNA (397 nucleotides) under uncultured bacterium. RNAcentral's name for it is "partial 16S ribosomal RNA". It matches the Rfam family "Bacterial small subunit ribosomal RNA", at positions 523 to 918 of the family's 1533-position model. The record is from RNAcentral.
AUACGUAGGGGGCGAGCGUUGUCCGGAAUGAUUGGGCGUAAAGGGCGCGUAGGCGGCCCGGUAAGUCUGGAGUGAAAGUCCUGUUUUUAAGAUGGGAAUUGCUUUGGAUACUGUCGGGCUUGAGUGCAGGAGAGGUAAGUGGAAUUCCCAGUGUAGCGGUGAAAUGCGUAGAGAUUGGGAGGAACACCAGUGGCGAAGGCGACUUACUGGACUGUAACUGACGCUGAGGCGCGAAAGUGUGGGGAGCAGACAGGAUUAGAUACCCUGGUAGUCCACACUGUAAACGAUGAAUGCUAGGUGUAGGGGGUAUCGACCCCUUCUGUGCCGCAGUCAACACAAUAAGCAUUCCGCCUGGGGAGUACGGCCGCAAGGUUGAAACUUAAAGGAAUUGACGGGG